RNAcentral lists this ribosomal RNA (520 nucleotides) under uncultured Glomus. Its description in RNAcentral is "SSU rRNA". It matches the Rfam family "Eukaryotic small subunit ribosomal RNA", at positions 569 to 1087 of the family's 1831-position model. The record is from RNAcentral. Lineage: Eukaryota; Fungi; Glomeromycota; Glomeromycetes; Glomerales; Glomeraceae.
AGCAGCCGCGGUAAUUCCAGCUCCAAUAGCGUAUAUUAAAGUUGUUGCAGUUAAAAAGCUCGUAGUUGAAUUUCGGGGUUAGUAGGUUGGUCAUGCCUCUGGUAUGUACUGGUCUCACUGAUUCCUCCUUCCUGAUGAACCUUAAUGCCAUUAAUUUGGUGUUUUGGGGAAUUUGGACUGUUACUUUGAAAAAAUUGAGUGUUUAAAGCAAGCUAACGCUUGAAUACAUUAGCAUGGAAUAAUGAAAUAGGACGUUCGAUCCUAUUUUGUUGGUUUCUAGGAUUGACGUAAUGAUUAAUAGGGAUAGUUGGGGGCAUUAGUAUUCAAUUGUCAGAGGUGAAAUUCUUGGAUUUAUGAAGACUAACUACUGCGAAAGCAUCUGCCAAGGAUGUUUUCAUUAAUCAAGAACGAAAGUUAGGGAUCGAAGACGAUCAGAUACCGUCGUAGUCUUAACCAUAAACUNUACGCCGACUAGGGAUCGGAUGGAUGUUUAAUUUUUAAUGUACUUCAGUUCGGCGUC